This 445-nucleotide ribosomal RNA is filed under the name uncultured bacterium. Its description in RNAcentral is "partial 16S ribosomal RNA". It matches the Rfam family "Bacterial small subunit ribosomal RNA", at positions 331 to 792 of the family's 1533-position model. The record is from RNAcentral.
CCAGACUCCUACGGGAGGCAGCAGUGGGGAAUAUUGGGCAAUGGGCGCAAGCCUGACCCAGCAACGCCGCGUGAAGGAAGAAGGCUUUCGGGUUGUAAACUUCUUUUAAGAGGGAAGAGUAGAAGACGGUACCUCUUGAAUAAGCCACGGCUAACUACGUGCCAGCAGCCGCGGUAAUACGGAGGAUGCGAGCGUUAUCCGGAUUUAUUGGGUUUAAAGGGUGCGCAGGCGGAUUUUUAAGUCAGCGGUCAAAUCGUGGGGCUCAACCCCAUCCAGCCGUUGAAACUGGGGAUCUAGAGUGUGCGAGAGGUAUGCGGAAUGCGUGGUGUAGCGGUGAAAUGCAUAGAUAUCGCGCAGAACCCCGAUUGCGAAGGCAGCGUACCGGCUCCACACUGACGCUGAGGCACGAAAGCGUGGGUAUCGAACAGGAUUAGAUACCCGAGUA